This 496-nucleotide ribosomal RNA is filed under the name uncultured bacterium. Its description in RNAcentral is "bacterial SSU rRNA". It matches the Rfam family "Bacterial small subunit ribosomal RNA", at positions 903 to 1397 of the family's 1533-position model. The record is from RNAcentral.
AAAUGAAUUGACGGGGACCCGCACAAGCGGUGGAGCAUGUUGCUUAAUUCGACGCAACGCGAAGAACCUUACCGGGGCUUGACGUGUACUGGAAGUGCUCAGAGAUGAGUUACGCUCUUCGGAGCUGGUACAUUAGGUGCUGCACGGCUGUCGUCAGCUCGUGCCGUGAGGUGUUGGGUUAAGUCCUCUAACGAGCGCAACCCCUUUCCACAGUUGCCAACAGGUAAAGCUGGGAACUCUGUGGACACUGCCGGUGACAAACCGGAGGAAGGUGGGGAUGACGUCAAGUCAUCGUGGCCCUUACGUCCCGGGCUGCAAACGUGCUACAAUGGCUGGUACAAAGGGAAGCGAGCCCGCGAGGUGGAGCAAAUCCCAAAAAACCGGCCUCAGUUCAGAUUGCAGUCUGCAACUCGACUGCAUGAAGUCGGAAUCGCUAGUAAUCGUGGAUCAGCAUGCCACGGUGAAUACGUUCCCGGGUCUUGUACACACCGCCCGU